RNAcentral lists this ribosomal RNA (921 nucleotides) under uncultured bacterium. RNAcentral's name for it is "bacterial SSU rRNA". It matches the Rfam family "Bacterial small subunit ribosomal RNA", at positions 77 to 997 of the family's 1533-position model. The record is from RNAcentral.
CCUUCGGGCGCUGACGAGUGGCGGACGGGUGAGUAACGCGUAGGAAUCUGCCUUAUAGUGGGGGACAACGUGGGGAAACCCACGCUAAUACCGCAUACGCCCUACGGGGGAAAGGAGGGGAUCUUCGGACCUUUCGCUAUGAGAUGAGCCUGCGUUAGAUUAGCUAGUUGGUAGGGUAAAGGCCUACCAAGGCGACGAUCUAUAGCUGGUCUGAGAGGACGAUCAGCCACACUGGGACUGAGACACGGCCCAGACUCCUACGGGAGGCAGCAGUGGGGAAUAUUGGACAAUGGGCGAAAGCCUGAUCCAGCAAUACCGCGUGUGUGAAGAAGGCCUUAGGGUUGUAAAGCACUUUCAAUUGGGAGGAAAACCUGUCGGUCAAUACCCGGCAGCUUGACAUUACCUUUAGAAGAAGCACCGGCUAACUCCGUGCCAGCAGCCGCGGUAAUACGGAGGGUGCGAGCGUUAAUCGGAAUUACUGGGCGUAAAGCGUGCGUAGGCGGUUCGUUAAGUCAGAUGUGAAAGCCCUGGGCUCAACCUGGGAACUGCAUUUGAAACUGGCGGACUAGAGUUUAGUAGAGGGGAGUGGAAUUUCAGGUGUAGCGGUGAAAUGCGUAGAUAUCUGAAGGAACACCAGUGGCGAAGGCGACUCCCUGGACUAGAACUGACGCUGAGGUAAGAAAGCGUGGGUAGCAAACAGGAUUAGAUACCCUGGUAGUCCACGCCGUAAACGAUGUCGACUAGCCGUUGGUCCUAUUUACAGGAUUAGUGGCGCAGCUAACGCAUUAAGUCGACCGCCUGGGGAGUACGGCCGCAAGGAAAACUCGAAUGAAUUGACGGGGGCCCGCACAAGCGGUGGAGCAUGUGGUUUAAUUCGAUGCAACGCGAAGAACCUUACCUACCCUUGACAUCCACUGAAUC